UGACGUACUUGUACUGAUUGAGAUUUUAACACGAAGUGAGUGGCGAACGGGUGAGUAACACGUGGGUAACCUGCCCAGAAGUAGGGGAUAACACCUGGAAACAGAUGCUAAUACCGUAUAACAGAGAAAACCGCAUGGUUUUCUUUUAAAAGAUGGCUCUGCUAUCACUUCUGGAUGGACCCGCGGCGUAUUAGCUAGUUGGUGAGGUAAAGGCUCACCAAGGCAGUGAUACGUAGCCGACCUGAGAGGGUAAUCGGCCACAUUGGGACUGAGACACGGCCCAGACUCCUACGGGAGGCAGCAGUAGGGAAUCUUCCACAAUGGACGCAAGUCUGAUGGAGCAACGCCGCGUGAGUGAAGAAGGGUUUCGGCUCGUAAAGCUCUGUUGUUAAAGAAGAACGUGGGUAAGAGUAACUGUUUACCCAGUGACGGUAUUUAACCAGAAAGCCACGGCUAACUACGUGCCAGCAGCCGCGGUAAUACGUAGGUGGCAAGCGUUAUCCGGAUUUAUUGGGCGUAAAGCGAGCGCAGGCGGUCUUUUAAGUCUAAUGUGAAAGCCUUCGGCUCAACCGAAGAAGUGCAUUGGAAACUGGGAGACUUGAGUGCAGAAGAGGACAGUGGAACUCCAUGUGUAGCGGUGAAAUGCGUAGAUAUAUGGAAGAACACCAGUGGCGAAGGCGGCUGUCUGGUCUGCAACUGACGCUGAGGCUCGAAAGCAUGGGUAGCGAACAGGAUUAGAUACCCUGGUAGUCCAUGCCGUAAACGAUGAUUACUAAGUGUUGGAGGGUUUCCGCCCUUCAGUGCUGCAGCUAACGCAUUAAGUAAUCCGCCUGGGGAGUACGACCGCAAGGUUGAAACUCAAAAGAAUUGACGGGGGCCCGCACAAGCGGUGGAGCAUGUGGUUUAAUUCGAAGCUACGCGAAGAACCUUACCAGGUCUUGACAUCUUCUGACAGUCUAAGAGAUUAGAGGUUCCCUUCGGGGACAGAAUGACAGGUGGUGCAUGGUUGUCGUCAGCUCGUGUCGUGAGAUGUUGGGUUAAGUCCCGCAACGAGCGCAACCCUUAUUACUAGUUGCCAGCAUUAAGUUGGGCACUCUAGUGAGACUGCCGGUGACAAACCGGAGGAAGGUGGGGACGACGUCAAAUCAUCAUGCCCCUUAUGACCUGGG
Molecule: ribosomal RNA, 1169 nt
Filed under: Pediococcus pentosaceus
Lineage: Bacteria; Bacillati; Bacillota; Bacilli; Lactobacillales; Lactobacillaceae
Description: bacterial SSU rRNA
Rfam family: Bacterial small subunit ribosomal RNA
Source: RNAcentral